UUUUCUAAAAGCAAACCAACCCUCGCCUAAUCGUAACUUGUUUACCUUCCUUUUCUCUCUCCUCUUCCUCACCUUAAUUAAAUAGGUCUUCGGUCUUCCCCUUCCUUUCUCUCUUUCACUUUCUUCCUCCAUUGAAGCUAUCCAAGGAAGAAAUUGCCACCAACCAUCGAUCGUCCAAUUUUUAGGGUCGCCACAACCGACGUUCGUCGUUCGAUACAUAUAAUUUGGGAAUACGACUGUCGUUUAGUUGACAGCGUUCGUGGUCGCGCCGUACAACAAACACGCAAAGGCAAAACAAGGUCGUCUGUUGAUCGGUGCGACUCACCACCCUCCAUUCUCGUUGUUCUAUUAUGGAUUAUCUUUGGCUCUUAGUUGUUAAUCUAUGAACUAUCUCUUUAAAAGGUUUCCCCACUUUCUUUCUCCUAGGAUUUCAUUUUUUUCGUCAAAUAUUCAUUGAAAUGUUCUUAAUUCUGGUUUUGGUAGAAAGUUCAUGAUCGUAAAGUAGGAUCGGAGAUCUAUUUAGUGGUGAUAUGAAGAGGUUUAUUGCAAUUGUAGUUGUGAUUAUGCAGAUUUUUUAAUGAAGCAAUCGUAAUCAUUUGAAGUUGAAAUCAAUGGAGAAAUUAAUACAAGCAAUUCAAGUUUAAGAGAGAUGCAGGUGAUGAGGAGGGGAGAAGAGGGGCAACUGUUAAUAUCAAAUAUCUGACCAGUAGUAAACUGAUUGGUUUGGAGGCUGAUGAGCAUUUUAAGAAGCCAGAUCAAGGAAGUUGAUGUAUGGAGGGCUAAAGAAAUUACCAAGCAAGGAUAUGUUGGGUUCACUUUUGAAUAAAAUGAGAGUUGUUGGUUAUGGUGUACUCGUAAAUUAUUCCAAUAAGUUCUUAUAUAAGUACUUGUAAAUUAUUUCAACAAUUUUUUUUAUAUACAUGUAAAUUUUUUUUUGAAAGAUAUAUACAUGUAAAUUUUAAUAA
Chenopodium quinoa (quinoa) is the source of this 965-nucleotide long non-coding RNA. RefSeq lists it as uncharacterized. The transcript is spliced from 3 exons. The record is from RefSeq and is a predicted model, not a curated record. NCBI's taxonomy places the organism in Eukaryota, Viridiplantae, Streptophyta, Magnoliopsida, Caryophyllales, Amaranthaceae.